UGGCUCUUUCUUCCUCUUCUUUUUAUUCAGCGAGAUGGCAUUUGCUGAAAUCUUAUCUUCUGUUGACUUUGAGACAAGAGCGUCUCUCUGCAUGAGUUAAUGGAACAUACAGUAAUCAGUGUCUGCUUUUUCUACAGUAAAAAUCACCUGGCUCUGGUUGUCUCGUCCCAGCCACAAAAUCCAGAAUCAAUUUUCCCCCGUGCAAGCUUUUGUAGUAUUUCUGAAGUUCUCUUGCCUAGAAAGCUUCAGCCAAAGUAGCAUGCAUGGUGAUUAAUUUGGACAACAUUAUAUUAUCUUGGCUCUUCAAUAGUUGGUCCUCGCACCUUUGUAUUCAGAAAAAAGGUUUGCUUCCAUCUGUUUCGUACUUCUCUUUUUCCCCUUUUUUCACCUCUUAUUGUUGUUUCCCUCUAGUGAGAGAACUUUAUGCCUUGAUAUUGCCGUAGACAUUUACUUAGAAACAUUAACAUGAGACCGCUAAUUGUAGCAGCUUUAUGCAAUCAAAUCAUCCAUCCAUAAGGCCAGGUUUCCCUUGGUUAAAAAUAAUGAAGGGGGAAAAUGAGAAAGCAAACCGUAUUACACACUAACAUAGCCAUGAGCACAUGCACAGAUAGAGUGGUGGGUUUGCUAAAACCCAGGUCAAUUGGUUCUAUUCAACUUGAAAUUUGAUCCUUGGAGUUGAUUCCGCUAUUUUCUUUAACCCACAAUUUUGGCCAUGAAAAAGCAUUUGAUAUCUAGAAUCGCAAACAUGUUUAUUUCAUCUAUCCCACAAAACUGGAAGUAAUUGGUUGAAUUGUUUUAUGUGACUGAUUCUGAUUGACAAUUUUGCAGGAAAUUCAGGAGAAGUUGCUUGAACAUUGUAAAUUUAUAAUAAUGUACAUACUUGUGUAGAUUAGAUCCUUACCUAAGUGAGUAUACUUGAACAAACUAUUUCACUUGUGAAACUGGCUGAAGCAACUUCUUUAACUGAGGUAACAAGAAGAGCGAGUCAAAAUCGAAGUAUGCUUUUUCAUUCUUUGAGUUUAUUGUCAAAAAGAGGAAUGGUUGGGAAGAACGGUGCAGGUUGUUUCAAUGGUCUUGGACAAACUUAGGCUUGACAUAUUUUGGCCUCUUACUGGUGUUGGAGAAAAUCACAAGAGGCAAUUUUACGAUAAUCCACCUUGAGAAGAAAAUGAAAAAGGAGAAAAAGAAACAAAGAGGCCAAGCUGGUUUCCACUUGAAAUUAUCUACUUGGUUUGGUCUAACAUCAUCCAAAAGUCCAAACUGUCUUUCGCAGCUUGGAAGUAUUCUUUGAUUUUUUUUAACAAUGAAAAGGGAGAUGGGCGGAGGCAGUAUAUUUUUCAUCCUUCUAACGGCUAAAUGACGUGUAGUAAUAUAGAUUUUUUUUUUUUGGUUUUGAAUUAGUAAACCUGGGCCCAGAGCUCACAUGAUGGCCUCUGUCAUCAUUGAAUCCUUCAUAUUAAUAUUUGGUUUUGUCUGUAAUUGAAAUUUAUAAAUUGCUGUUCAGA
Manihot esculenta (cassava) is the source of this 1505-nucleotide long non-coding RNA. RefSeq lists it as uncharacterized. Lineage: Eukaryota; Viridiplantae; Streptophyta; Magnoliopsida; Malpighiales; Euphorbiaceae. The transcript has 2 exons. The record is from RefSeq and is a predicted model, not a curated record.